GACGAACGCUGGCGGCGUGCUUAACACAUGCAAGUCGAACGGAAAGGCCCCUUUGGGGGUACUCGAGUGGAGAACGGGUGAGUAACACGUGCGUAACCUGCCCUUGACUUCGGGAUAACUUCAGGAAACUGGGGCUAAUACCGGAUAGGAAUCCUUGCUGCAUGGUGGGGGUUGGAAAGCUUCGGCGGUUUUGGAUGGACUCGCGGCUUAUCAGCUUGUUGGUGGGGUAGUGGCUUACCAAGGCUUUGACGGGUAGCCGGCCUGAGAGGGCGACCGGCCACAUUGGGACUGGGAUACGGCCCAGACUCCGACGGGAGGCAGCAGUGGGGAAUAUUGCACAAUGGGCGGAAGCCUGAUGCAGCAACGCCGCGGGCGGGAUGACGGCCUUCGGGUUGGAAACCGCUUUCAGCAGGGGCGAAGCUUGUGGUGACGGUACCUGCAGAAGAAGCACCGGCUAACUACGUG
This 465-nucleotide ribosomal RNA is filed under the name uncultured bacterium. RNAcentral's name for it is "partial 16S ribosomal RNA". It matches the Rfam family "Bacterial small subunit ribosomal RNA", at positions 28 to 507 of the family's 1533-position model. The record is from RNAcentral.